AGAGUUUGAUCCUGGCUCAGGAUGAACGCUGGCGGCGUGCUUAACACAUGCAAGUCGAACGAAGCACUUUAUUUGAUUUCCUUCGGGACUGAUUAUUUUGUGACUGAGUGGCGGACGGGUGAGUAACGCGUGGGUAACCUGCCUUGUACAGGGGGAUAACAGUUGGAAACGGCUGCUAAUACCGCAUAAGCGCACAGCAUCGCAUGAUGCAGUGUGAAAAACUCCGGUGGUAUAAGAUGGACCCGCGUUGGAUUAGCUAGUUGGUGAGGUAACGGCCCACCAAGGCGACGAUCCAUAGCCGACCUGAGAGGGUGACCGGCCACAUUGGGACUGAGACACGGCCCAAACUCCUACGGGAGGCAGCAGUGGGGAAUAUUGCACAAUGGGCGAAAGCCUGAUGCAGCGACGCCGCGUGAGCGAAGAAGUAUUUCGGUAUGUAAAGCUCUAUCAGCAGGGAAGAUAAUGACGGUACCUGACUAAGAAGCACCGGCUAAAUACGUGCCAGCAGCCGCGGUAAUACGUAUGGUGCAAGCGUUAUCCGGAUUUACUGGGUGUAAAGGGAGCGCAGGCGGUGCGGCAAGUCUGAUGUGAAAGCCCGGGGCUCAACCCCGGUACUGCAUUGGAAACUGUCGUACUAGAGUGUCGGAGGGGUAAGCGGAAUUCCUAGUGUAGCGGUGAAAUGCGUAGAUAUUAGGAGGAACACCAGUGGCGAAGGCGGCCUACUGGGCUUUAACUGACGCUGAGGCACGAAAGUGUGGGUAGCAAACAGGAUUAGAUACCCUGGUAGUCCACACUGUAAACGAUGAUUACUAGGUGUGGGGGGUCUAACCCCCUCCGUGCCGGAGUUAACACAAUAAGUAAUCCACCUGGGGAGUACGACCGCAAGGUUGAAACUCAAAGGAAUUGACGGGGGCCCGCACAAGCAGUGGAGUAUGUGGUUUAAUUCGACGCAACGCGAAGAACCUUACCAGGUCUUGACAUCCAACUAACGAAGCAGAGAUGCAUUAGGUGCCCUUCGGGGAAAGUUGAGACAGGUGGUGCAUGGUUGUCGUCAGCUCGUGUCGUGGGAUGUUGGGUUAAGUCCCGCAACGAGCGCAACCCUUGUGAUUAGUUGCUACGCAAGAGCACUCUAAUCAGACUGCCGUUGACAAAACGGAGGAAGGUGGGGACGACGUCAAAUCAUCAUGCCCUUUAUGACCUGGGCUACACACGUACUACAAUGGUCGUUAACAGAGGGAAGCAAUACCGCGAGGUGGAGCAAAACCCUAAAAACGGUCUCAGUUCAGAUUGUAGGCUGCAACUCGCCUACAUGAAGUUGGAAUUGCUAGUAAUCGCGGAUCAGCAUGCCGCGGUGAAUACGUUCCCGGGCCUUGCACACACCGCCCG
RNAcentral lists this ribosomal RNA (1386 nucleotides) under uncultured bacterium. RNAcentral's name for it is "bacterial SSU rRNA". It matches the Rfam family "Bacterial small subunit ribosomal RNA". The record is from RNAcentral.